This 72-nucleotide transfer RNA is filed under the name Camelus bactrianus (Bactrian camel). It matches the Rfam family "tRNA". Rfam says of the family: Transfer RNA (tRNA) molecules are approximately 80 nucleotides in length. Their secondary structure includes four short double-helical elements and three loops (D, anti-codon, and T loops). The record is from Rfam by way of RNAcentral. RNAcentral also lists the same sequence under 2 other names. Lineage: Eukaryota; Metazoa; Chordata; Mammalia; Artiodactyla; Camelidae.
GAGGGCAUAGCUCAGUGGUAGAGUGCAUGCCUAGCAUGUUUGAGGUCCUGAGUUCAAUCCCCAGUACCUUCA